AUUAGUGAAACGCAAACCGGUCGAAAGUCCGGGACGCAAAGUCAGGAAUCUACAGCGACACGUUCGCCAUGAUCGUCCGACCGCCUCG
RNAcentral lists this non-coding RNA (88 nucleotides) under Saccharibacillus sacchari. RNAcentral describes it as "c-di-GMP sequence". It matches the Rfam family "c-di-GMP-I riboswitch aptamer". From Rfam's summary of the family: GEMM was predicted in a large-scale screen for bacterial structured RNA regulatory elements. Genes associated with GEMM are involved in a diverse array of functions, including chemotaxis regulation, signal transduction, secretion and chitin. Lineage: Bacteria; Bacillati; Bacillota; Bacilli; Caryophanales; Paenibacillaceae. The record is from RNAcentral. RNAcentral also lists the same sequence under 1 other name.